Manduca sexta (tobacco hornworm) is the source of this 846-nucleotide long non-coding RNA. RefSeq lists it as uncharacterized. The transcript is spliced from 2 exons. Lineage: Eukaryota; Metazoa; Arthropoda; Insecta; Lepidoptera; Sphingidae. The record is from RefSeq and is a predicted model, not a curated record.
AGUUUUUUUUAGUUUAUUUAUUGCGGCUCUGGAGGCUUUACUUGGUUUGACAGGUGAUUGCCAACAUUGCCACUUAAAAAUUAAAUAAAAUUGUGGAAGUAGGAUUUCCUGCACUGGUCACAUUCGAUAGGGUCAGUGGUCGUUUUGAUGUCUUUUAGUAGAUUGUCUGAGGGACAUCUCUACGUCGAUCUAUGGCUUUUCCCAUCUCUACGAUGAUGAUGGACGGCUGUCAUAGACUCAGGAAGUCACUUUCUUUGACGGUUCUUAAAGGAUAACAUCAUGGACUAAAUAAUCCAAUUUAAUCUUUCAUAAUUAUGGGCAGUAUGCCCUAAUAUUUUGUUAAAAUGUACUGUAAACAUUCAACAGUAAUAAUUUAUCUUGGAUGAGUUUGUUUUUCUACUAAAAAUUGAUACACGUGUGGUUGUAUUUUUUUCAUUGGAAUUACAUGUCGUAUUUUGGUCUGUUACAGGAUUUUCCCCUUUUAACCUUACGAUGGGCGUCUUGUUGAUGUUCCCUAUUAUUUAUCUAAAUUUGCCUUAAAAAACGCUUUCCGCGUUUUUUUACUAUGGAUCAAUAUUUGUUUUUUUAUGGAACAAUGUUCUUUUGGAAGUUUUUUAAUGGAACAAUUUCAUAAUGUAUCCAAUUUAAAUGGGUAAACCUACAUUUACUGCAAUUUUCUGCACCACGACCCUCCGCGAGGACCUGCUUUAUGGGACCAGUGGUGAAGAGUGUUCUGUGGUCUUCAUUAAUAAUACUUAGCUAACUUUAGUUAUUUCAUGACUCUGGUAUGUAUUUCUAACUUAAUUCCAGUGAUGAUGCAAUAAUGACCAAAGGUAUUUUUAUGUU